Molecule: long non-coding RNA, 320 nt
Filed under: Marmota monax (woodchuck)
Lineage: Eukaryota; Metazoa; Chordata; Mammalia; Rodentia; Sciuridae
Source: RNAcentral
CUUGAUAUAAGGUUUAUUUACCUGUGGAGAAGUGAAUUUUAUUUUUCCAUUGUUUUGGUGAAUACCCAGAAGGUUUAUACUGAACCUCUUUGCUACAUUCUUGUCCUAUGGAUCAGAAUGGCUGUAACUCAGCUGCUGUGGACAAAAGACUUUAGCUGCUAUUCCCUAUGGGGUCUGUAACUAAACCCACAGCCAGCAGUGUUUUAACCCUUAAACAAUCUGACCUAAGUGCCAAACACAGACUGCCUUAAGAUCUGGUAGUAACACUGGCAUCUGCUGUUAAAACUCACUUUUAAAGUCCCACAUGCUGCAAGGAAAGG